CAGUUCGGCUGGAUCGGUGACAGGUGCUGCAUGGCUGUCGUCAGCUCGUGUCGUGAGAUGUUGGGUUAAGUCCCGCAACGAGCGCAACCCUUGUCCUUAGUUGCCAGCAUUCAGUUGGGCACUCUAAGGAGACUGCCGGUGUCAAACCGGAGGAAGGUGGGGAUGACGUCAAGUCCUCAUGGCCCUUAUGUCCUGGGCUACACACGUACUACAAUGGCCGUUACAACGGGAAGCGAAGGAGCAAUCCGGAGCAAAUCCCUUAAAGGCGGUCCCAGUUCAGAUUGUGGGCUGAAACUCGCCCACAUGAAGGCGGAAUUGCUAGUAAUUGCAGAUCAGCAUGCUGCAGUGAAUACGUUCCCGGGCCUU
This 366-nucleotide ribosomal RNA is filed under the name uncultured Pelobacter sp. RNAcentral describes it as "bacterial SSU rRNA". It matches the Rfam family "Bacterial small subunit ribosomal RNA", at positions 1016 to 1382 of the family's 1533-position model. Lineage: Bacteria; Pseudomonadati; Thermodesulfobacteriota; Desulfuromonadia; Desulfuromonadales; Desulfuromonadaceae. The record is from RNAcentral.